CGAGGAUCCAUGCACACGAAUAGCUCAGAUGAGCACAAGAGCCAAGAGCUUCUGAAUUUUGGGUUGGGCCUUGUCGCUGGCCAUGCCUUCUUAUAGAUAGGAGUCUUCUCUACCGACAUUCUAUAGGAUACUUGCUGAAUUACUUAUGCAAAAGAUAAUUGGAGUUGAUAGAAUGGCAUCUUGAUAGCAUCUAAUGUACUCCUAUCCAACGAAACCUA
This 218-nucleotide long non-coding RNA is filed under the name Elaeis guineensis (African oil palm). RNAcentral describes it as "long non-coding RNA (EGUI_LNC027039)". Lineage: Eukaryota; Viridiplantae; Streptophyta; Magnoliopsida; Arecales; Arecaceae. The record is from RNAcentral.